Molecule: ribosomal RNA, 316 nt
Filed under: uncultured eukaryote
Lineage: Eukaryota
Description: SSU rRNA
Rfam family: Eukaryotic small subunit ribosomal RNA
Source: RNAcentral
GUUAAAAAGCUCGUAGUUGGAUUUCUGCGAGGGUGCCAUGUCCGCCGACGCGCGUGCGCAGCGGCGCCCUCGCAUCCUUCUGUUACCACCUCUCGGCAUUCACUUGCCGGUGGUCGGCUCAGAGAAUUUACCUUGAGAAAAUUAGAGUGUUUCAGGCAGGCUAGGCCGGAAUACAUUAGCACGGAAUAAUGGAAUAGGACUACGGUCUCGUUGUUGGUUUGAGGGACUGCAGUAAUGAUUAAUAGGGAUAGUUGGGGGCAUUAGUAUUUAAUUGUCAGAGGUGAAAUUCUCGGAUUUGUUAAAGACUAACUUAUGC